GGGAGCCGCGUCGAGCCGGGGAGGAGCGAGGGACCCUGGGAGAGCUGUCUUUUCAGGGCUGAGGACCCGCCGGCACCUGAUGGAGAGCAAAUGGCUGUUUCCACACGUGGAGAACUUUUAACGAACACGUGAGGAAGGCGGGCAAUGUCUGUGGAAAAACUACCUCACAACCCAAGCGUCUUACUCCAGCCCCCAGGGCGACAGCUUGUUUACGGUGUUUCUGAAUGUCUCCGUCCCCUUUUGUCGGCCCCUCCUCCUCCUCUAACCCCGACUUCAGGCUUUGAGUGAGGCUUUGGUAGAGCAGCCGCCGCCGCAGGCGCCCCGGCCGGCGAAGCCCACCGGCAUGCGGGCGCAGAGGCCGUCUGCGCCUGCGCGGGGUGUCUGCUACGGGGAGGUGCGUGGAGCUCGAGGGCGUGGAGCUCGGGGCGUGUCUCCCGCCGCGGCGCCGGGGGCGGGGCGAGGGCGGAGCCUGGGGGCCUAGCGGCCCGCGCCCGGUGGCCUGACCACCCCGAACGCUGGGCCCGUGACGUCACCCCGCCGUGACGCGCACGCUGUAGGAAAACUAAUUAAUUAAAAGGAUUUACAGUAUAUCUUAUGACUCUACAGGAGCCUUGGGAUAUAGGAGGAUUAGAAGAAGGAAUCACAUGUGGCUCACGUGUUUAUGUUCUGACUUCGUAUUAGAUAAAAAUGAAUGCCAUUUCCCAUCCAGUACUGAAGUGUUAAAGUUAGAAGACAUUUGCUAAGUCAAAUCACUUCAGGUAUGUUGAAGAAAGUAUGCACAUCUUAUCUUCUGAACAUUUUGAUGGAAUUAACCACAAACUUCAUGCAAGAACAGUAAAAGGAAAGAUACUAUUCAAGUCCAGUACAUCAUAAUGCAGAAUUCUGUAUCAGUACCACCAAAAGAUGAAGGUGAAUCAAACAUCCCUUCUGGAACAAUACAGAGUAGGAAAGGUUUGCAGAAUAAGAGUCAGUUUAGGACCAUUGCACCAAAAAUUGUGCCCAAAGUCCUAACGUCCAGAAUGCUGCCAUGUCAUUCACCAUCACGCUCUGAUCAGGUGAAUCUGGGACCCUCCAUCAACUCCAAGCCGCUGGGGAUGUCCACCCAGAACUAUGCCCUGAUGCAGGUUGCUGGCCAGGAGGGGACAUUUUCUCUUGUUGCUCUGCCACAUGUUGCCUCAGCUCAGCCAAUUCAGAAACCCAGAAUGUCCCUACCUGAAAACCUGAAACUUCCUAUUCCUAGAUAUCAACCCCCUAGAAAUAGCAAAGCAUCAAGAAAGAAACCCAUCCUGAUCUUUCCUAAGAGUGGCUGUAGCAAAGCUCCUGCCCAAACCCAAAUGUGUCCUCAGAUGUCCCCUUCCCCACCUCACCACCCUGAACUCCUGUACAAACCCAGUCCAUUUGAGGAAGUGCCAUCACUAGAGCAAGCCCCAGCCAGCAUUAGCACAGCUGCGCUGACCAAUGGAAGUGACCAUGGGGACUUGAGACCACCAGUGACCAACACCCAUGGCAGUCUGAACCCUCCUGCUACCCCAGCAUCAUCCACACCAGAGGAGCCUGCCAAGCAGGACCUCACAGAUCUUUCAGGGAAAGCACACUUUGUAAGCAAGAUAACAUCUAGUAAACCUUCUGCUGUUGCCAGUGAAAAAUUUAAAGAACAAGUUGAUCUUGCAAAAACCAUGACCAGUUUAUCACCAACCAUUCUUGGCAAUGCAGUUCAGUUGAUCUCUUCAGUCCCCAAAGGGAAACUGCCAAUCCCACCCUACUCAAGAAUGAAGACAAUGGAGGUUUACAAAAUCAAAUCAGAUGCUAACAUUGCAGGUUUUUCUUUACCAGGACCUAAGGCCGACUGUGAUAAGAUAUCCUCCACCACAGAAGGCUUUAAUGCAGCCACCAAGGUGGCAAGCAGGCUACCUGUUCCACAAGUGUCACAGCAGAGUGCCUGUGAAAGUGCCUUUUGUCCACCCACCAAACUUGAUCUUAACCACAAAACAAAACUGAACAGUGGAGCAGCAAAGAGAAAAGGAAGAAAACGGAAGGUACCAGAUGAAAUUUUGGCAUUUCAGGGAAAAAGGAGGAAAUGUAUCAUUAAUAAGUGUAGAGAUGGUAAAGAAAGAGUAAAAAAUGAUCCCCAAGAAUUCAGAGACCAAAAGCUGGGGACCCUGAAAAAAUACCGUAGCAUUAUGCCCAAACCUAUCAUGGUCAUACCCACUUUGGCCUCCCUGGCUUCUCCAACUACACUACAGUCCCAGAUGCUUGGGGGCCUAGGACAGGAUGUUUUGUUAAAUAAUUCACUCACUCCUAAAUAUCUUGGCUGUAAGCAAGACAACAGCUCUUCCCCUAAGCCCAGCUCCGUGUUCAGAAAUGGAUUCUCUGGCAUUAAGAAGCCUUGGCACAGAUGUCACGUCUGCAACCACCACUUCCAGUUCAAACAGCACCUUCGAGACCACAUGAAUACACACACCAACAGACGCCCUUACAGUUGUCGGAUUUGUCGCAAGUCCUAUGUACGUCCUGGCAGCCUGAGCACACACAUGAAACUUCAUCAUGGUGAGAACCGUCUGAAGAAACUCAUGUGUUGUGAGUUUUGUGCAAAAGUGUUUGGCCACAUCCGAGUCUAUUUUGGCCAUCUGAAAGAAGUGCAUAGGGUUGUGAUCAGCACUGAGCCUGCGCCCAGUGAACUGCAGCCAGGAGACAUACCAAAGAACAGAGACAUGAGUGUGCGAGGCAUGGAGGGAUCGUUGGAGAGGGAAAACAAGUCCAACCUGGAAGAAGACUUCCUUCUAAACCAGGCAGACGAAGUCAAAUUACAAAUCAAAUGUGGUCGUUGUCAGAUUACUGCUCAGUCUUUUGCGGAAAUAAAAUUUCAUUUACUUUAUGUUCAUGGAGAGGAAAUUGAGGGCAGGCUACAAGAAGGCACCUUCCCAGGAAGCAAGGGGACUCAGGAAGAGUUGGUGCAGCACGCUAGCCCUGAUUGGAAAAGGCAUCCUGAGAGAGGGAAGCCGGAGAAGGUUCAUUCCUCCUCCGAGGAAUCACAUGCAUGUCCAAGACUGAAAAGGCAGCUCCACCUUCAUCAGAAUGGCGUGGAAAUGCUCAUGGAAAAUGAAGGACCCCAGUCAGGAACCAACAAGCCAAGGGAAACCUGCCAGGGCCCUGAGUGUCCUGGCCUCCACACGGUUCUUUUGUGGUCCCAUUCGGGCUUUAACUGCCUGCUUUGUGCAGAGAUGCUGGGACAGAAAGAGGACCUCCUCCACCACUGGAAGCACCAGCAUAACUGUGAGGACCCUUCCAAACUGUGGGCUAUUUUAAAUACAGUCUCCAACCAGGGAGUGAUCGAACUUUCCAGUGAAGCUGAGAAAUGAGACCCCAAGGCAACCUGGGGUUAAGGAGAGAGCUCUGUCGCCACCUUCCUUCAGAGCUUUGUGCUUUAUGGUGGUGCUUAGUCACAAGGAUCAAACAACAGGAUUGGUGUCAGAUGCCCAGGGCCACUGAAGAGAAAACUCCGCUUUUCAUUUAGCUGUCACUUGGCCCAAACCAGUCAAAGAUUCAUCAACAUCAUUGUGAAAAUGUCUUAAAUGGACAAUUCUUCUAGAAGACAAUUAAAAUAAGACAGAAAAGAUGGGCAACCGCUGAAAAGUAAGUUGUACCUGAAGCAUGAAGAAAAUCUCCCCCCACCCGUUCCAAGAGCUAUCUUAUUUCCCCCAAUUUUAAACUAAUAUUUAUGGUGCAACCAUGGCCCUACCGGCCACACCAUCCUGAAUGUGAACUGCCCAAGAAAUAGGGCUGAAAAUGGCAGUCCUGUCAUGCCAAGGUCUCACCUUGGAGCUGCCCGCUUUUGUGCUCCCAGCCCAGUCUUGCCAGCUUUCUCCUCUGGAGACGGGGCUACCCUGGCCCCACUUUGCCGCCUCACCUCUCCCAUGUCCCCAGUUCAUUUGCUUACUUGUGUUGUCACUUCCCAUUCCCUAGAAGGCCCCAGGCCCUGGGAUGUCCCAGCUGUUCUCCACUUCAACCACAUGGGGCCGAGUCCUCCCCUUCGAACAGGGACAGUUUUUUAUUAGGCCCCAAACUUGGAGGUAGCCCUCAAUUUCUUACAACAACCUUUUGUUCCUUGUUUACCCUCUUUUUCUGCCCAAAGUUAAGUUAAGCUCCACAGGAGCUUGGUGAGAAGGCCCUGUGACCACAUUCCUCCCCCCAGCAGCCUGCAAGCUCCACGCAACCUUCAUCACUUUGGGGUGAGCUCUCUGCUGCUGGAUUCCCUGCCUGGGGCUGUCUCCUCCAGCUGGUGUCAGUUUCCCCCAGCCAAGGCCUGCUGUCAUUCCCCAGAGCACCUCCCACGCUGCCUCCUGCUACGGAGUAAUGUCUUCAAAGUACACAGUAACAUGGUUUCCAGCAGAACAUAGGCAAAGCAAAAGUUUACAGGAUUCAUCAUUAGGAGAGAGGGAAGCUGAAGAAGGAAAUUGUAAAAGGAAAACAUUAAACAUUCCCUGAGUGAAAGGUAGGGGAACCCCACUCGCUUAGGGAACAGCUGCACCACCUCUCCAGACUCUGGCUCAGUCCAGACAAAUUCCAUGAGUGAGGGGGGCAUGAAGGCAUGGCCCUCAGUACUUUAACUGUGGUGGCUGUCCCUGGCUUGCCCACUCUCUUGCUGUCCAAUCACAUGCAGUUCAGUUCUCCCGAGAAAACUGCAGGCGCGAUGGUUCUCCACUGAUUGUCUUUGUUGCAGUCCUUGAACUCUCAAGGUUGCAGAAGUUGCUAGGGUUCUAACUGUCGAAGUGAAUCGUGCUCCUCAGUGUCAAGGGUCAGCGUGCACUGUUUCUUUCACGGAACACGAUUAACAACUAAAACAAAGGAAAGAUCAGACCGGGUGUGCGGCUCAGGUGACAACGGGGUUCCUGUUCAGGUCAGUUUCCUGCUCUUCCUACCAAACUGGUCAAAGCAAUUAAAUGUGUGAACUGUGUUAUUUAUGAGUUUCCAGGGCUGUAAAAGUCAUGUCUGUGCUAAGAGACCAAAAAUACAUAUCCCUUGAACACCACAGCAAACACCCUCUUCUGUCAAACAAACAGAUAUUCUCUUCUCCAAAAUCAAAACCUCCACCAACUCAGAAAGUUAGCACAGGACGGAUUUCUCGCAGAGAGUGCCUCUCUAGGCAGGUGAGCCGUGCAUGGGGCCCAGCGACAAUUGCCGAUUGUGAUUUAUUAGUGGAGGAAAAUUUGGAAUUGGACUUUACCGUUGGGAUUUACUUGCAUUUGAAAGCAAUGCAGUUAGCAGUCCAUCUUUCAACACUGAAUGUAUUUUCUCUGCUUUUAUAUCUUUCUGAUGAAUUAAGCACUUAUGUGAGGUGAAGGAUUGAAAACACUAGCAGCCUAAUCUCUCAGUAGAUCUGCUUGCCAGAUAACAGCUGUAUGGAAAAACACGGGGACCAAUUUUACAUUGUUUCUCCACCAAUUCAUACCAGCCAUGAACUGUGAUGCUCCCCCGAAUUCUACAAUGGGCAGAUAAUAAGAGUUCCUUGCCCUCCAGUUCUCCAAGCCGUUUCGAAGAAGGCCUGCUAAUUGAAUUCAGUUGUUUGCAGUUUUAAAUGUUCAUGCUUUCCACAAAACAAGAAUAUAUUAAACUCAUUUCAUCUGUCAUCCAAGAAGAAUUGGAGCCUGCAUUUUUAUUACCAACUGACUUGUGUGUUCAUCUUUAUCCCAGAUUUUUUUUGAAAUGUUUGCAAUGUAAUUAAAAACAAUCAAGUCAAAUGAUGUAUUUGAAUUGUUCCCUUUGGGGGAAGAUAAAGGAGGAGAAAAUAUAGCUACAAUUGCUUCAUUUUUGCUGAGUAUUUCUGCCUUCUCAACAGAAAUACAUCAUGUAUCUGCUCACCUAGAGCGUUUUGUAAUGUCACUGGUGAUUUAACAAUUACAAAAUAUUGUAAUUAAAUGUUCAAAUGCUCUC
This is an RNA transcript of Gorilla gorilla gorilla (western lowland gorilla), 5931 nucleotides long. It is a transcript of the gene named zinc finger protein 438, with no coding region annotated. The transcript has 10 exons. Lineage: Eukaryota; Metazoa; Chordata; Mammalia; Primates; Hominidae. The record is from RefSeq and is a predicted model, not a curated record.